GCCGAAGUGGCGGAAUUGGCAGACGCAGCGGAUUCAAAAUCCGCCGAGGUAAAAUCUCGUGUGGGUUCGAGUCCCACCUUCGGUACCA
This 88-nucleotide transfer RNA is filed under the name Gammaproteobacteria bacterium. RNAcentral's name for it is "tRNA-Leu". It matches the Rfam family "tRNA". From Rfam's summary of the family: Transfer RNA (tRNA) molecules are approximately 80 nucleotides in length. Their secondary structure includes four short double-helical elements and three loops (D, anti-codon, and T loops). RNAcentral also lists the same sequence under 3 other names. The record is from RNAcentral. Lineage: Bacteria; Pseudomonadati; Pseudomonadota; Gammaproteobacteria.